GAUGAACGCUGGCGGCGUGCCUAAUACAUGCAAGUCGAGCGAACGGACGAGAAGCUUGCUUUUCUGAUGUUAGCGGCGGACGGGUGAGUAACACGUGGAUAACCUACCUAUAAGACUGGGAUAACUUCGGGAAACCGGAGCUAAUACCGGAUAAUAUUUUGAACCGCAUGGUUCAAAAGUGAAAGACGGUCUUGCUGUCACUUAUAGAUGGAUCCGCGCUGCAUUAGCUAGUUGGUAAGGUAACGGCUUACCAAGGCAACGAUGCAUAGCCGACCUGAGAGGGUGAUAGGCCACACUGGAACUGAGACACGGUCCAGACGCCUACGGGAGGCAGCAGUAGGGAAUCUUCCGCAAUGGGCGAAAGCCUGACGGAGCAACGCCGCGUGAGUGAUGAAGGUCUUCGGAUAGUAAAACUCUGUUAUUAGGGAAGAACAUAUGUGUAAGGAACUGUGCACAUCUUGACGGUACCUAAUCAGAAAGCCACGGCUAACUACGUG
RNAcentral lists this ribosomal RNA (497 nucleotides) under uncultured bacterium. RNAcentral describes it as "partial 16S ribosomal RNA". It matches the Rfam family "Bacterial small subunit ribosomal RNA", at positions 28 to 507 of the family's 1533-position model. The record is from RNAcentral.